Molecule: ribosomal RNA, 254 nt
Filed under: uncultured bacterium
Lineage: Bacteria
Description: partial 16S ribosomal RNA
Rfam family: Bacterial small subunit ribosomal RNA
Source: RNAcentral
UACGUAGGGGGCGAGCGUUGUCCGAAGUUACUGGGCGUAAAGCGCGCGUAGGCGGGGAAUUAAGUGAGAAGUGAAAGGCUGGGGCUCAACCUCAUGCAGUGCUUCUCAUACUGGUUCUCUUGAGGGCGGUAGGGAGAAGUGGAAUGGCUGGUGUAGCGGUGAAAUGCGUAGAUAUUCGCAAGAACACCAGUGGCGAAGGCGGCUCACUGGCCCGAUACUGACGCUGAGGUGCGAAAGCGUGGGGAGCAAACAGG